RNAcentral lists this ribosomal RNA (969 nucleotides) under marine metagenome. Its description in RNAcentral is "bacterial SSU rRNA". It matches the Rfam family "Eukaryotic small subunit ribosomal RNA", at positions 529 to 1629 of the family's 1831-position model. The record is from RNAcentral.
AUGUAAUUACUAAUAGCAAAUGAUGGGAAAGUAUGGUGGCAGCAGCCGCGGUAAUACCAGCUUCAGUAGCAUAUAUUAAAAUUGUUGCAGUUAAAACGUCCGUAGUCUGUACGUCGUCCGAGGCUUUACUACAUCUCUGUAUGUUCUUAAUUGAGCGUAUAGCUGUUUGUAGUUACUCCCUUGAUCAAAAUAGAAUGUUCAAGGUAGACCAAGUCUUCAUAUUUUCACAUGGAAUUGGGUGAGGGAACUUAAGAGGUUAAGUUUCUCGUCUUAGGAUCAUCUGGGGUCAUUCGUACUCGUCCGCGAGAGGUGAAAUUCUUGGACCGGACGAAGACGAUCAGCAGCGAAAGCAUCUGUCAGGGAUGUUUUCUGCGACAAAGGACGAAGGUCAGGGUAUCGAAGACGAUUAGAUACCGUCGUAGUCCUGACUGUAAACUAUGCCGACUUGGGUCUUGCAGAGUCAAUACUUUGUGAGACCCACACAGAAAUGAAAGUGUAUGGGUUCUGGGGGUAGUAUGGACAAAAGUCUGAAACUUGAAGGAAUUGACGGAAGAGAACCAUAAGACGUGGAGCUUGCGGCUUAAUUUGACUCAACGCGGGAAAACUUACCAGGUCAAGACAUGGGCGUGAUUGACAGGCUAAUGACCUUUCUCGAUUCCUUGGAUGGUGGUGCAUGGUCGCACUUAGUUGGUGCAGUGAUUUGUCAGGUUUAUUCCGGUAACGAACGAGACCUCGGCCUUGUAAUUAGCUUUAUUGCUGCUUACAGGGACGAUGACGGCUACGUCAAGGAAGCUCGAGGCAAUUGCAGAUCUGGAAUGCCCUUAGAUGUCCUGGGUCGCACGCGUGCUACAAUGACGCCACGAGCGAGUUAGCGUGAUGAAAGUCACGCUAAAUCAUAAAUCGUCGUCUUAAGGGACAGUCUCUUGUAACUGUGGGACUCUAACUAGGAAUGUCUCGUAAGCACAAGUC